GCUGGCAUGGCGCAAUUGGUAGCGCACCUGUCUUGUAAACAGGGGGUUGCGGGUUCGAGUCCCGCUGCCAGCUCCA
This 76-nucleotide transfer RNA is filed under the name Demequina sp. RNAcentral's name for it is "tRNA-Thr". It matches the Rfam family "tRNA". From Rfam's summary of the family: Transfer RNA (tRNA) molecules are approximately 80 nucleotides in length. Their secondary structure includes four short double-helical elements and three loops (D, anti-codon, and T loops). Further hydrogen bonds mediate the characteristic L-shaped molecular structure. tRNAs have two regions of fundamental functional importance: the anti-codon, which is responsible for specific mRNA codon recognition, and the 3' end, to which the tRNAs corresponding amino acid is attached (by aminoacyl-tRNA synthetases). tRNAs cope with the degeneracy of the genetic code in two manners: having more than one tRNA (with a specific anti-codon) for a particular amino acid; and 'wobble' base-pairing, i.e. permitting non-standard base-pairing at the 3rd anti-codon position. Lineage: Bacteria; Bacillati; Actinomycetota; Actinomycetes; Micrococcales; Demequinaceae. The record is from RNAcentral. RNAcentral also lists the same sequence under 2 other names.